Molecule: ribosomal RNA, 640 nt
Filed under: uncultured Lactococcus sp.
Lineage: Bacteria; Bacillati; Bacillota; Bacilli; Lactobacillales; Streptococcaceae
Description: bacterial SSU rRNA
Rfam family: Bacterial small subunit ribosomal RNA
Source: RNAcentral
CGCCCUUAGAGUUUGAUCAUGGCUCAGGACGAACGCUGGCGGCGUGCCUAAUACAUGCAAGUUGAGCGUUGGUACUUGUACCAAGAGCAGCGAACGGGUGAGUAACGCGUGGGGAAUCUGCCUUUGAGCGGGGGACAACAUUUGGAAACGAAUGCUAAUACCGCAUAAAAACUUAACACAAGUUUAAGUUGAAAGAUGAUUGCAUCACUCAAAGAUGAUCCCGCGUUGUAUUAGCUAGUUGGUGAGGUAAAGGCUCACCAAGGCGAUGAUACAUAGCCGACCUGAGAGGGUGAUCGGCCACAUUGGGACUGAGACACGGCCCAAACUCCUACGGGAGGCAGCAGUAGGGAAUCUUCGGCAAUGGACGAAAGUCUGACCGAGCAACGCCGCGUGAGUGAAGAAGGUUUUCGGAUCGUAAAACUCUGUUGGUAGAGAAGAACGUUGGUGAGGAAACUCAUCAAGUGACGGUAACUACCCAGAAAGGGACGGCUAACUACGUGCCAGCAGCCGCGGUAAUACGUAGGUCCCGAGCGUUGUCCGGAUUUAUUGGGCGUAAAGCGAGCGCAGUGGUUUAUUAAGUCUGGUGUAAAAGGCAGUGGCUCAACCAUUGUAUGCAUUGGAAACUGGUAGACUUGAGUGC